GACGAACGCUGGCGGCGUGCUUAACACAUGCAAGUCGAACGGAAAGGCCUGCUUUCCCUUGUGGAUUGCGGGUACUCGAGUGGCGAACGGGUGAGUAACACGUGAGUGAUCUGCCCCCAACUUGGGUAUAAGCCUGGGAAACUGGGUCUAAUUUCCGAUAGGACUGCAGGGUGGUGCCUGUGGUGGAAAACGAUUUUCUAGUGGUUGGGGAUGAGCUCGCGGCCUAUCAGCUUGUUGGUGGGGUAAUGGCCUACCAAGGCGGCGACGGGUAGCCGGCCUGAGAGGAUGGACGGCCAAAUUGGGACAGGGAUACGGCCCAGACGGCUACGAGAGGCAGCAGUGGGGAAUAUUUCACAAUGGGCGGGAGCCUGAUGCAGCGACGCCGCGUAGGGGAUGACGGCCUUCGGGUUGUAAACUCCUUUCGACCGCGAGGAAGCCACCUGGUUGGAAGGGUGGUGACGGUAGUGGUAGAAGAAGCACCGGCUAACUACGUG
Molecule: ribosomal RNA, 494 nt
Filed under: uncultured bacterium
Lineage: Bacteria
Description: partial 16S ribosomal RNA
Rfam family: Bacterial small subunit ribosomal RNA
Source: RNAcentral